UGGGGAAUCUUGGACAAUGGGCGCAAGCCUGAUCCAGCCAUGCCGCGUGAGUGAAGAAGGCCUUCGGGUUGUAAAGCUCUUUCGGCGGGGACGAAACGGUUCGUGACAACACCACGGACUAAUGACGGUACCCGCAUAAGAAGCACCGGCUAACUACGUGCCAGCAGCCGCGGUAAUACGUAGGGUGCAGGCGUUAAUCGGAAUUACUGGGCGUAAAGGGUGCGCAGGCGGUUUGUUAAGACAGGUGUGAAAUCCCCGGGCUUAACCUGGGAAUUGCGCUUGUAACUGGCAGGCUAGAGUGUGGCAGAGGGGGGUGGAAUUCCACGUGUAGCAGUGAAAUGCGUAGAGAUGUGGAGGAAUACCAAUGGCGAAGGCAGCCCCCUGGGUUAAUACUGACGCUCAUGCACGAAAGCGUGGGGAGCAAACAGGAUUAGAUACCCAAGUAGUCCCUGAGCGGGCUGGCAAGGCGCAU
This 472-nucleotide ribosomal RNA is filed under the name uncultured bacterium. RNAcentral's name for it is "bacterial SSU rRNA". It matches the Rfam family "Bacterial small subunit ribosomal RNA", at positions 355 to 825 of the family's 1533-position model. The record is from RNAcentral.